Molecule: ribosomal RNA, 492 nt
Filed under: uncultured bacterium
Lineage: Bacteria
Description: partial 16S ribosomal RNA
Rfam family: Bacterial small subunit ribosomal RNA
Source: RNAcentral
AGUGAACGCUGGCGGUAGGCCUAACACAUGCAAGUCGAACGGCCGCACAGUAAGCGCUUGCUCUUACUGGUAGCGACUGGCGGACGGGUGAGGAGUACAUCGGAAUCUACUUUUUCGUGGGUGAUAACGUAGGGCAACUUACGCUAAUACCUAAUAUUACCUACGGGUGAAAGCAAAGGAUCUUGGCACCUUUGCCGUUUGUUUUAGCUGAAGUCGGAUUGGCUAGUUGGGAGGGUAAAGGCCCACCAAGGCAACGAAACGUAGCUGGUCUGAGAGGAUGAUCGGCCACACUGGAACUGAGACACGGUCCAGACUCCUACGGGAGGCAGCAGUAGGGAAUAUUGGGCAAUGGGCGAAAGCCUGAUGCAGCCAUACCGCGUGAGUGAAGAAGGCCUUCGGGUUGUAAAGCCCUGUUGUUGGGAAAGAAAAGAAGUAGGUUAAACCCCCGACGUUCUGACGGUACCCAAAGAAUAAGCACCGGCUAACUUCGUG